Mustela putorius furo (domestic ferret) is the source of this 112-nucleotide non-coding RNA. Lineage: Eukaryota; Metazoa; Chordata; Mammalia; Carnivora; Mustelidae. The record is from Rfam.
GUCUACGGCCAUACCACCCUGAACGCGCCCGAUCUCGUCUGAUCUCGGAAGCUAAGCAGGGUCGGGCCUGGUUAGUACUUGGAUAGGAGAAGAGGGCCUGAGGCAGCAUGAG